Anolis carolinensis (green anole) is the source of this 7320-nucleotide long non-coding RNA. RefSeq lists it as uncharacterized. The record is from RefSeq and is a predicted model, not a curated record. The transcript is spliced from 3 exons. Lineage: Eukaryota; Metazoa; Chordata; Lepidosauria; Squamata; Anolidae.
GUGGGAAGGUAACGGCGCUCCAUGCAGUCAUGCCGGCCACUUGACCUUGGAGGUGUCUACGGACAACGCCAGCUCUUCGGCUUAGAAAUGGAGAUGAGCACCAACCCCCAGAGUCAGACAUGACUGGACUUAAUGUCAGGGGAAAACCUUUACCUUUUAACUAGACAACAGGAGCCUAGUUAGGUCAACUUCUCCUCUUUAAUAAUUUCAUGGAAUAACACAAUCUUUCUUUUCUUUUUAUUGCUCAUUGAAAGAUGACGAUAGGUCUUCAGCAUCUGCAACUUUGUUUUGAUGAGUAGGACCCCAUCUGUCUUAAUUUAGGCUCCUCAGACUCAGAAUGACCAUUGUUAACAGGAGAUGAAGAUUUCUGGCAUUGGAAAUUGUCCACCUCUAGAGCAUGAGCUUUGACACAUUUUCUGAGAACUCCACUUGUCUUGUGGACAUUAAACAGAUUAAGAUAACUUUUUAUACUGAACAAUUUUUAUUGACAAUUGAAGACCUAUCUCUUCCAGCAGGCUUACCCAGUCUUUUUGUAAUUAUGAAUUUUAAACUCAUGUCUUGUGUUUAUAGUAUUUUUAUCAUCGUAUUUUAAUAUACAGUGUUCCCGCACUACUUCGCGGUUCACUUUUUGUGGAUUCGCUGUUUCACAGUUUUUCAAUAAACUCUAAAAGACUAUUAUAAAUCAUAAAAAAUUACAAUUUACAGCCUAAGGAAGGGAGGAAGGAGAAGCCAAAGGGAGAGAAAAGGAGCCCAAGAGGCAACUGGAGGAGGAGGAGGCGAUUUAUCAACACACAAUUGGUUGAUAAAGACUUAAAAUAGUGUAUAACUACUAAAAUGUAUAAAUAUUAAAAUUAAUAUAGCGUCCCUACUUCGCAGAUUUUCACUUAUUGCAGGUGGUCCUGGAACCUAAUCCCUGUGAUAAGUGAGGGAACACUGUACAAUGUUCCAUCCCUUAUUGUGGGGGUUACGUUCCAGGACCACCUGUAAAAAGUGGAUAUCCGCGAAGUAGGGAUGCAAUAUUUAUUUUAAAUUUUAUACAUUAUUUUAAUAGUUAGGUGGCCUUUCUCUCCCUUUCAAGCCCUGGGGAGGCUUGUGGGCCAUUUUUCACUGUUUGCUGUAAAGCCACAACUCCCAGGAUUACCGUGCCUUGGGCUCUGGCAUUAAUUUGCCCAUCCUGGGGAGCCAGUGAAGCUUUCCCUACCAGCGCCAGCAGGCCCCUUGCUCUGUGCCCACCAUGUUGCUCUGGCUACUUCUUCUCCUCCACGUUUCCCGGCAUGGCCCAGCUGGAGCAGCGUUCCUUCUUCCCUGGCUGCAGGAGCAGAGGCAGCCAGAGCAACAUGGUGGGCAUGGAGCAAGGGGGCAGCCCUGAGGAGGAGAAGCAGCAGCAACAACAACCAUAAGAAGAUCCAACCAGUUUCCCACAAAACAGCAAGUCCGCAAAAAGUGAAUUGCAAAGUAGCAAGGGAACACUGUAUGUAUUUCAUAGAAAUACGUUUUAAUAUGUGUGUUUUUUCUAAUGUUUUGUAAUUAUGUUUUUUAACUGUGUUGUGCCCUGCCUUGAAGAGAGGUGAGUAAGAAAUUAUUAUUAUUAUACAUGAGUAUACACAUACAUUAUAUUGUGAAUAUGCAUUAGGACCUUAAAUAUCUUCUUCACUGGUAUAAAAAUCACCAGGCACUAGUUAUAGCUCCUCUGCCUAUGCUGUGCUUUUCCUCCUUGAAUACUUUGCUAGACCAUUUUGGACAGUCUAGGUAAAAGAAAGCAUAGUCAUAUUUUUAAAAUGUUUAUGCAAAGUUUUCUUGAACAAUACCCACUGUUUCAAAGAUGCAAAAUUUUGGAUACAAAAUUUCAACAAGGCAUGUUCAGGUUUUCUUUUAAAUUAAGAGUUAGAAAUAAUUUGAUGUCAUCAACAUUAAGUGUUUUAGUGAUAUCAAAUUAAGUAUGUCAGUGAUGUCAAACCUAUGGAUGAGAGAACUGGACCAUAAGAAAGGUGGAGCAAAGGAAGAUAGAUGCAUUUGAACUGAGGUGUUGGAGGAAAAUUCUGAGAGUGCCUUGGACCACAAGAAGAGUCAACCAGUCCAUACUCCAGGAAAUAAUGCCCGACUGCUCCCUGGAAGAAAGGAUAUUAGAGGCAAAGAUGAAGUACUUUGGCCACAUAAUGAGAAGACAGGAAAGCUUGGAGAAGAUAAUGAUGCUGGGGAAAUGGAAGGAAAAAAGAACAGGGGGCAAACAAGAGCGAGAUGGAUGGAUGUUAUCCUUAAAGUGACUGGCUUGACCUUGAAGGAGAUGGGGGCGGUGACAACUGACAGGGAGCUCUGGCGUGGGCUGGUCCAUGAGGUCACAAGAAGUUGGAAGCAACUGAAAAAAUAAACAGUAACAUUAAGUAUUGUUACACUUGUAUUUCUCUUCAGCUGUUUCCUCUAUAGAGUUCAAGGGCUAUUAUACAGUAUUAUACAGGUAGGUUAAGAUAUGCCUAACCUCAACAGAGUAUCUCAUGACAUUUCAACACAGCUCAUGCAUCACUUGAUUUCAGCAGAUGCCUUCAGUCUGCAAUGACAGUUAGCCAUUUUGAAGCAACCUCCCCCCUCUCUUCCUUCUGAAAGUACAGCAGAAUCCUUUUUAGUGCUGAAAACAUACCCACAGUUUCACUUACCUGCACCUGACAGAAAAGGUUUUUUUCUAGGAAUGUGUUACAUCAUCUAAGCAAUUCUAUAGUAUGCUUCCCACAGAAGUUACCUUGGAUUUGAGUUGGAGACAGGAAUCUCCAUGUCUUCCACACAAUUCUCUGGUAUGUCUGAACCAGAAGUAAGAUAAUUUAAAGACAUUUUGUUGUAUCUACAGUUUCACAUAACUGUGGUCUAUAUGUUCCACAGAUACAAAAUCAUCUUAUAUAUUAGGUACAUUGAUAGUUUACAAAGUUCAUUCAACAGCAUGCAGCGGGUAGAAAAUGUAUCACAACUAUUCUGAGACAUCCCCUUUAAUAGCUGUUCCCCAGUAACCAUUAUUUUUGAACAAUUGUGAGGGAGAAACAUUUUCAUGUUCUACCUGUGCACUUUUUACUGGUUUCUGCUGGCUACUGUAGGAACAGAGUGAUGGAUUGGAUACUAUUUUAGACUGAUCUGGGGCGGGGGGUGGCUUUUGUUCUUAUGUGUUUUACUGUCCUCUCACAUUCCUGUCAUCCAAGCUAGGGGUAGUGGAGAAGGAUGAAAGAAGGAACCGUCCAUAUUUUCAAUGCCUUUUUGUGACAUUUCUAAUGUGGAUGGUUGUGUAUAGAUUGUGCCUACUACCUCCAUUUUUCAAAAAAUGUCUGUAGAAUUUCCAAUUGAUACAUUCAUUACAAUAAUUAUUUUUUUUAAAAAAAAUGCAUUUGUUGUCUGUGCAUUGUUUUAAUGGGAAUGUGGGAGAUGACAUGUGUUUCUUUUCAGCAGCUGCUAAAACCCAAUCUUUAAAAGAGUGUGAGGGAGAGAACACACAUUUGAAGUGCCAAGUGCAUUUAAAAUGAGAUGUAUAAAAGCCUUUAAAAAAACCAACCCCACAUAAUUUUAGGGUGGAUGUGGAAGUCCUCUGUUCUUUUUAUGAAGCGUGAUCAUAAAUCAGUGCCUUUUGAAUCUCUCUCCAUGCUCAAGGCUAAGGAGAGCCUCGCACUUUGGUCUCUCUUCAUGCACUAAGUGGCCAGGGUCUUUGUCACUUUCUGAAAUUAUUCAUUCUGGCUCAGCUGUGCUCCUGCACAAGAGCAGCUGGCAUACAAAACAGGCAAGGGCUGGUUGAAGGAGCUUCUGUUUGACAGCUGAUUAAGGCCACAAAAUACAGCAGGGAUGUCAGUUACAGUGCAUGGGCUGAAUGGAUUCUGAAUCCACAAACUGUACAUUUUAAAAUUAUGAGAUGACUUCACAAUAAUUGCUGCAUGUCGAAGAUUACUUUGCCAAUCUUGGAACUUGGCCAUUUUGUUGGUGGUGUCUAAGUAGCUGGUGGUGACCUGGAAUAUUUCAGGCGUAUUUCUGUCAACACAUUUGAAACCUUAGAAAACAAGACAGACAGGCAUUGCCAGACUUUGAUGCAUACAAGGAUUUCAAUGCAUACAGAGACCACUCCACUUGUUGGACCUGUAAAGACUACAAACAAAGUGCAACAAAUGACAGAUGAAGCACGAGGCACAAACAAAAUCCUUCACAAUCCUGGUGUGUUUGGCAAGUUGAGACAAAGCAUGGAGCACUUUGUUCAAAACAAUAAAAGCACAGCUUCCAAAGACUGUUGACUCAAAGGACAAUCUCAUCACAAAUGCAUGUAAGAUAUAGAUGUUUACUUAUGUCCUCAGUAUUCACUGGAGCUUGGUCCCAGGACCCCCCUCCCCAUGGAUACCAAAAUCUUUGUAUGCUCAAGCCCCAUUAUAUACAAUGGUGUAAUAAAAUCAUGUCUCUUAUAUAAAUGGUAUAUUCAAUGUUUGCUUUCUGGAUUUUUUUAAUGCUUUCGACCCAUAGAUGGUUGAAUCUAUGGAUACAGAAUCUGUUGAUAUGAAAAGCCAACUGUAUUUUGAACUUAAAUCUUUUCAAAUCUGACUAAACUUCACUGGGAUAUAAUAUCAUCUUUGACUGAGCUUCAUCAUGUGUUGCACUGUAGAAGUUGAGACAAAAUGCAUUGUGUUUUCAUUCCGUAUUUGUUUCUAAGUUUGUUCACUAACAUUGAUGUUUAAAUCCAUCUUUCAGACUAUUUUAAUACCCCUAUGACAACUGUAAGUGGAUUUGGUCAGCAAGUCAUAAAUUUUAGAUUGCAAGUACUGCACUGAGUUUUUGAAGUACUACAAUAAUAAACGCUUCAAAGAGGGUUAGUGUUUUUAUACUACGUACAUUUCCUAACAGAUGUAUUUGAAAUGAAAUAGAUCACCUGAAAGAUUUGAAGCCAUUAAAGUGAUUCACUUUUUAAUUGGUUACAAAUAAGUAAUUCAGAUCUAGGUUGUGAUUCUAUAUAUGACUCGUGUAUUCUGCAUAACUGAUCUCUAUCCCAUACUUUGUGUCCACUUCCUGGGGUAUAGAAUAAUGAAUGAUUUAAGAAUUAAGUAAGUGCUGCAUGAUGUGGUGAGCAAUGUCACUCCUGCUUCUCUGCAAAGAACCUUCCAGAAUGAUUCUACCCAUAACUGUGUGAUGACACACUGGGUAUGCACUAGUAGAUUAUAUAGAAAGGAACUAAUUGUAUGUACAAUUACAAUUUUGGACUCAACCAUAUGGGUUCUGUAUCAUGAGAUGCAUCCAUUGCUGUGAAGAUACACCAUUCACUACACAGAUUACUUCCUUUGACAUCUUGUGCCUAUUCUAUCACACACUCCCACACUUUUUUUUCUGGCAGUUUAUUGAGGGACUUUCUUUUUAAUGUUGCCAAAGCCCUUUCUUGAUUUUUGGUAAGCUGGAUCCUUGUGUUUUAAACUGAUAUUUUAUUUAUAGCAUCAAUUUUAUAUUGUACAGUUUUUAAUAUUUAUUUUGUAAUCUGCCUUGUGAGACAAGGUGGGAUAUAAAUAUUUAAAGGUGAGAAAACAAUUUUGGAAUAAUUGUCUCCCUUUUGACAGUUAAGGUGAGUUGGAAGAUUUUAAAUAUGGAAGAAACAUAAACUGAUAGAAUGUCAUUUCCUUAUUUCUGAGUGUCAUAGAGGAAAAAGAUUGUCAUGUCGAACUGAAUUGCUGAAAACUAAUUUUUUUUUAGUAUAUAUUUAAUUUAAAAAAAACUUCUUAGCCAAUUGCCAGUGAUGGGUCAUGGUCAAUAUUCUUGGUUCAUGGAACCAAGAACUGUGAGACAAGUGCUUUAGUUUGUUUCCAAAUUUGAGCAAACAUAUUACUGAUGCUAUUACAUUUUGAAAAACUAGUCCACAUUUACCAGUUUGGAUUUUCAUCAAAUUGCCAAAUUAAUAUGAAUUUUAAAAAAUAAAGCAAUUCAAGAUAUUUUGAAAGAAUGGAAACUGUUUAUGGCUUUUUGACCAAUAGAAACUCUAAUCUGUGAUUAUGGCAACUAAUAACUUUAAUAGCUUUAUUUAAUUUAACUUAGCUAUAUUUGUAAGAAUAAGGUAACACAUUUCUUUUUUUGUUGCAUGUAUACAUGUAUAUAUGUAUAUUAUACAUACUUAUCUUGUUACCCUUUGUUUCUGUUUUUCUUCUUCCUUCUGAAUGUUGUUUAGUUUGUCUGUAUUAAAACUAAUAAACAAUAAAAACUGAAGGACAAGUUAGUUGUCAGAACAAAAGAGCAACCACAUUCAGGAAAACUUUCUUAUAAUUGCUAUGUAUCAUUAAGUCAGUUUUGACUUAAGGUACCCCAUAAAUGAGGGACCUCCGAGAAACUAUUAUUAACAGCCAUACUAGGCUCUUGCAAAUUCAGGGCCAUGAUUUCCUACCCUGGAGACUAGGACGCGGAACAAUGACUUCAAACUACAGGAAAGGAGAUUCCACCUGAACAUUAGGAAGAACUUCCUGUGAAAGCUAUUCGGCAGUGGAACUAACUGCCCCGGAAUAUGGUAGAGGCUCCUUCUUUGGAGGCUUUUAAGCAGAGGCUGGAUGGCCAUCUGUCGGGGGUGCUUUGAAUAUAACUUUCCUGCUUCUUGUCAUGGGGUUGGACUGGAUGGCCCAUGAGGUCUCUUCCAACUCUAUAAUUCUAUGAUUCUCUUCCUUGAUAAAAUCAUUCCAACUCUAGUGUGAUCUGCUACUUUUCCCUUUAGCAAACAUUAUUAUUUUUCUCCAAUGAAUCAUAUUAUUCAGAAAAUAUGAUAGCUUCGUUUAAUCAUGUUGGCUUCUAACUGUGUUAAAGACUAAUCUAGACCCAUUUGUUUGUCUUUUUGUCAGAUAACUCUCUGCCAGCAACACACAUUGAAUAAGUAGAUAUUUCUCCUGUCACCUUCCAUCAUUUUCCAGCUCUCACAUCCAUUGUGCACAUACAAACACCAACUGAAAUCCAUCUUGUGAUAAUAACUUCAUUGGGUCAAUCAAAAGGUGCAGAAAACAACAUACUAGGUUUUGAAGCUUUGCAGGAUUCUUCAUCAGGAAAGGUGAUAAAAUAGUAUAUAGAGCAAAAAGCUAACCUUUUGGAUGCUACAGGCAUACAUUUCUGAGAAGAGAAUAACUUCUCAUGAUUAUAAGCUGUGUGGGAACAAAAGCAAUAAAGCAGAGUUCAGUCUGGCUUCUCCAUCUGAAGUUACAAAGCAGUCCUUUCUAAUGGUAAAUGAAAUGGUAAAUAUAAUGAAAACAAUAUAUAUGAAUAUGGAGAACAGAGAAACACAUGCCUAGGUUAACAGCAACUCAUAUUUGUUUCCUUUCAGGUCUUCAACUUCAACUGUCCCUUAACUAUUUU